Molecule: ribosomal RNA, 306 nt
Filed under: Triticum aestivum (bread wheat)
Lineage: Eukaryota; Viridiplantae; Streptophyta; Magnoliopsida; Poales; Poaceae
Description: partial small subunit ribosomal RNA
Source: RNAcentral
GGCUUCGGCCUUGUUGGCCAGCAGUGGGACCUCAUCGAGUAUUUGCGGCAAGAGGAGAUUGACAUCGUCGGUCUUCAGGAGAUGAUUCGCCAGGACUUCAGUAUGCUUGAGCUCCAGGGGCUCUCUCGCCACCAGUUUGCCUGGCAGUGGCUGCCUGCCAUGGGCCAAUCUGGGGGCAUUUUACUCGGGGUCAGGGAGGAUGUCUUCUCGGUUGAGGGUAUGGACCGAGGGGAAUUCUUCCUGAGCAUGUCGGUCACCGGCCGUCGAGUCCACCUCAGUUGGCAGGUGAUUUUUGUCUAUGGCUGA